This 117-nucleotide ribosomal RNA is filed under the name Kwoniella heveanensis CBS 569. The record is from RNAcentral. Lineage: Eukaryota; Fungi; Basidiomycota; Tremellomycetes; Tremellales; Cryptococcaceae.
ACGGCCAUAGAAGCGAGAAACCGCCCCAUCCCGUCUGCCCUGGGAAGCUUUAAGCUUGCUAUCGCCCUGUUAGUACCAUCGUGGGGGACCAGAUGGGAAUCCCGGGUGCUGUAGUUU